UACGUAGGGAGCAAGCGUUGUCCGGAAUCAUUGGGCGUAAAGCGCGCGUAGGCGGCCUCAUAAGUCCGUUGUGAAAGUCAAAGGCUCAACCUUUGAAAGCCGAUGGAUACUGUGAGGCUAGAGUCCGGAAGAGGCGAGUGGAAUUCCUGGUGUAGCGGUGGAAUGCGCAGAUAUCAGGAGGAACACCGGUGGCGAAGGCGGGUCUCUGGGCCAUUACUGACGCUGAGGAGCGAAAGCGUGGGGAGCGAACAGG
RNAcentral lists this ribosomal RNA (253 nucleotides) under uncultured bacterium. RNAcentral's name for it is "partial 16S ribosomal RNA". It matches the Rfam family "Bacterial small subunit ribosomal RNA", at positions 524 to 776 of the family's 1533-position model. The record is from RNAcentral.